GACGAACGCUGGCGGCGUGCUUAACACAUGCAAGUCGAGCGGUAAGGCCCUUUCGGGGGUACACGAGCGGCGAACGGGUGAGUAACACGUGGGUGACCUGCCCUCAGCUCUGGGAUAAGCCCGGGAAACUGGGUCUAAUACCGGAUAUGACUCCAUGACGCAUGUUGUGGGGUGGAAAGCCUUGUGCGGCUGAGGAUGGGCCCGCGGCCUAUCAGCUUGUUGGUGGGGUGAUGGCCUACCAAGGCGACGACGGGUAGCCGGCCUGAGAGGGCGACCGGCCACACUGGGACUGAGAUACGGCCCAGACUCCUACGGGAGGCAGCAGGUGGGGAAUCUUGCGCAAAUGGGACGAAAGCCUGACGCAGCGACGCCGCGU
RNAcentral lists this ribosomal RNA (376 nucleotides) under uncultured bacterium. RNAcentral describes it as "bacterial SSU rRNA". It matches the Rfam family "Bacterial small subunit ribosomal RNA", at positions 28 to 402 of the family's 1533-position model. The record is from RNAcentral.